UUAAGCAUAUCAGUAAGCAGAGGAAAAGAAAACAACUGUGAUUCCCUUAGUAACUGCGAGUGAAGCGGGAUAAGCCCAUCGUUUAAUCUUCCCGGACUAUGGACGGGACGACGUGUAACGGUAUGGAUAGGUUCUCUAUCAACAAUGUCUGGUCAAAGUCCUCCGGAUUGAGGUGCCAAAGAGGGUGACAGCCCCGUGUGUGACUGGACAGAGUUGAGUAUGUGGCCGAUUCUGAGAGUCGGGUUGUUUGGGACUGCAACCUAAAGUAGGUGGUAAACUCCACCCAAGGCUAAAUAUUGACACGAAACCGAUAGCGAACAAGUACUGUGAAGGAAAGUCGAAAAGAACUCUGAAAAGAGAGUUAAAAGUACGUGAAACCGCUAACGGGGAAGCGGAAGGCAGUGUCGAGAUUGAGUGAGUGAGUUGUUUCAAAUCAUUUUAAACUGGGCGGAAUACGUCUGAUUGAGAGUGGUUUGGGGCAGCUAGCUUUGCUUGAUGCGUCAGGACUAUUGGUGUGCGAUGGCUCAAUUGACGGUAUGGCUAUCACGACACCCAACUAAUCUAAUAAGUUAGUUGGGCUCGUGUGUGCGACCGGCAAUCCACCUCGUGUGCUGAUAUGGAUGCGAUGAGGCGUUGGUGAUGUAGUGUCGGUUGGUGUUGUGGGGCGUUUCGCGUAGUCACAUUGUGGCUACGUCGGAAUAGUCACGCAAUAGUUCAACAACCAGUGCCAGCUCCUGACGUGAUACCUAACCUUCCGACCCGUCUUGAAACACGGACCAAGGAGGCAGAAUCUAGAGCGAGUUGGAGGGUGGAAAACCCGACGGCGUAGUGAAAGCGAGAGAUGAGAUCCUACGGCUUCGGCUGUGGGCGCAUCAUCGGCCAGUCCACUUGAGUGUGAUUGAGUUAGAGCUGUAGAUGCUGGACCCGAAAGAUGGUGAACUAUGCGUGAGCAGGGCGAAGCCAGAGGAAACUCUGGUGGAGGCUCGAAGCGAUUCUGACGUGCAAAUCGAUCGUUUGACUUGCGUAUAGGGGCGAUAGACUAAUCGAACCAUCUAGUAGCUGGUUCCCUUCGAAAUAUCCCUCAGGAUCGCUGAGACAAGUGGGAGACAGUUUCAUCGGGUAGAGCGAAUGACUAGAGGAAUCGGGGAUAUAUUACUCUCGACCUAUUCUCAAACUUCCAACCGGUGAGAGCGCCGUUUUCUUUGUUGAACUGGUGCGUUGAAUGUUGUUGUCUCAAGUGGGCCAUUUUUGGUAAGCAGAACUGGCGAUGCGGGAUGAACCGAGAGUUGAGCUAAGGUGCCUAAGGACACGUUGAUAGAUACCACAAAAGGAGUCGGUCGAUAAAGACAGCAGGGCGGUGGCCCUGAAAGUAGGAAUCCGCUAAGGAAUUGUCUAAAAACUCACCUGCCGAAUCGACCGGCCCUGAAAAUGGAUGGCGCUGAAGCGUGUCACCGAUGCUCGACCUCUACCACGAGAGAUGUUGGUAGGGGGUAGAAGGGCGCGGCGGUAGCGAUAAAGUACAAAGUGUAAACUUGUAUGGAGCUGCCGUCGGUGUAGAUCUUGGUGGUAGUAGCAAUUAUAAAAGUAAAAACCUUUUAGGCCGAAGUGGAGAAGGGUUCCACGUGAACAGCAGUUGGACGUGGGUUAGUCGGUCCUAAGCGGUUGCCUAACGGUAGUUCCAAAGCCAACUUGUAGUGUCCUCCUUGUGGGGUCAUGAUCUGGUUGGAGUCCGCGAAAGGGAAUCAGGUUAAUAUUCCUGAACCGGCGUGUGGAGACGCUGCCAACAAGUUUGGCGCUGUGUUUCGGCAUGGUGUCAGAAUUGUGGUAGCUUAGCGGUAACGCAAUCAAUCUCGGAGACGUUGACAUCUAUGGCGGAGAGAAUUAUCUUUUCUGUAUAACAGGUGAACUACCUUGGAAUCGAGUCAUUCGGAGAUAAGGUAAAAAGCCUGGAAGAGCACCGCAACUAUUGCAGUGUCCGCAUUGUAGGUGUCGGCCCUUGAAAAUCCGAGGGAGUGGAUAAAUUUCAUACCCGGCCGUACCGAAUCCGCAUCAGGUCUCCUAGGUGAGCAGCCUCUGGCACUGGAACAAUGUAGGUAAGGGAAGUCGGCAAAAUAGAUCCGUAACUUCGGGAAAAGGAUUGGCUCUAAGGGCCGGGUCAAUGGAGCUAGUAUUACCUAGGUUAGUGGGCGUGCGAUUGGAUGUGUGUGCGUUGGCAACAAUUGUGCGCAUGUUUGGUUGUGCGAACGCUGGCCAUGGAAUGCCGGCGUGAGUUUCGGUCGGUUAGGGGGCUGUUGUGCUUCGGCAUGGCAGUCGUCUAGCCGAUGGGGCUCUUUACGAUUGACAAGCAUCGGCCAGCUUAGAACUGUUACCAACUAGGGGAAUCCGACUGUUUAAUUAAAACAAAGCAUUGCGAUGGCCGGAAACGGUGUUGACGCAAUGUGAUUUCUGCCCAGUGCUCUGAAUGUUAAAGUGCGGAAACGCAACCAAGCACGGGUAAACGGCGGGAGUAACUAUGACUCUUUGAAGGUAGCCAAAUGCCUCGUCAUCUAAUUAGUGACGCGCAUGAAUGGAUCAACGAGAUUCCCACUGUCCCUACCUACCAUCCAGCGAAACCACAGUCAAGGGAACGGGCUUGACUGAGACAGCGGGGAAAGAAGACCCUGUUGAGCUUGACUCUAGUUUGAUUUUGUGAGAAGACAUGAGGGGUGUAGAAUAGGUGGGAGAGCAGUCUUGUGCUGUUCAACAGUGAAAUACCACUACCUUCAUCGUUUUCACACUAAGUCGGUUGCACGGGAAAUACUUGUCCUCUCAAAUGGGGGCAGGUGGAUUCGUUGCUAUAAGACAGACUGAUCUGUUGACCCAUCGCCGAUGACAGAAUCAGAUG
RNAcentral lists this ribosomal RNA (2884 nucleotides) under Kudoa guangdongensis. RNAcentral's name for it is "partial 28S ribosomal RNA". It matches the Rfam family "Eukaryotic large subunit ribosomal RNA", at positions 34 to 2614 of the family's 3401-position model. Lineage: Eukaryota; Metazoa; Cnidaria; Myxozoa; Multivalvulida; Kudoidae. The record is from RNAcentral.